Molecule: ribosomal RNA, 363 nt
Filed under: Triticum aestivum (bread wheat)
Lineage: Eukaryota; Viridiplantae; Streptophyta; Magnoliopsida; Poales; Poaceae
Description: partial small subunit ribosomal RNA
Source: RNAcentral
AUGCUCAUCGGCAUCAACGUCUACUUCCUCAGCACCAGCUUCAUGGGGUGGCUCAUCAACAGCUCGCUGCCCACCUACGCCAAGGUGCUCGUCGGAGUCGUCGUCUGCCCGCUGAUGCUCGUCUACCUCGUCGCCGUCGUCUACCUCACCUUCAGGAAAGACACCGUCGUCACCUUCGUCGCAGACUCAUGCAAGGCCGACGCGGAGAAGGCUGCGGCCGGCAGUGGGGAGGACGAUGAUGAGCCCAUGCCCUACCGGGAGGACUUGGCAGACAUACCGCUCUGCCCACAGCACAGGCUAGUUAUAGAGACUAUGAUAGCAACAUGCAUCGCCUCGUCUUGUGAACAUGUAUAUGUACGAUGA